Molecule: ribosomal RNA, 253 nt
Filed under: uncultured bacterium
Lineage: Bacteria
Description: partial 16S ribosomal RNA
Rfam family: Bacterial small subunit ribosomal RNA
Source: RNAcentral
UACAGGGGGGGCAAGCGUUGUUCGGAAUUACUGGGCGUAAAGGGCUCGUAGGCGGCCAGCUAAGUCACACGUGAAAUCCCCAGGCUUAACCUGGGAACUGCGUGUGAUACUGGAUGGCUUGAAUUCGGGAGAGGGAUGCAGAAUUCCAGGUGUAGCGGUGAAAUGCGUAGAUAUCUGGAGGAAUACCGGUGGCGAAGGCGGCAUCCUGGACCGACAUUGACGCUGAGGAGCGAAAGCUAGGGGAGCAAACGGG